Caenorhabditis elegans is the source of this 221-nucleotide non-coding RNA. The record is from Ensembl. NCBI's taxonomy places the organism in Eukaryota, Metazoa, Nematoda, Chromadorea, Rhabditida, Rhabditidae.
CGCCUUUCUUGAGCAAAACACAAACAUAUUUGAUUGGAAAUUCAAAACUUGGUGGGAAAGAAAAUAAAAUAGUUUUGAAAAUCUUGGAGCAGGCGGGUCAAUGUAGAGAAAGUAUGUGCUGUCUCCGGUCAAAUAUUCGAAAGAAACACACAUAAUGUCACAAAAAGAACAAUGGAUCGUCGCGAGCUUCUGGUGAAUGACCAAAAGCGGUGAGGGAGAGA